Small nuclear RNA from Eptesicus fuscus (big brown bat), 104 nucleotides. The record is from RefSeq and is a predicted model, not a curated record. Lineage: Eukaryota; Metazoa; Chordata; Mammalia; Chiroptera; Vespertilionidae.
GUGCAUGCUUCAGCCGCACAGACACGAACACUGAGAUGAUCCAGAUAUUAGCAAGGCCCCUGCACAAGGAUGCCAUGCACAUUCACGAAGCAUUUCUUAUUCUU